GUUUCCGUUGACGUAAGGGUCAUUAUUUUAUUGGCUUACAAGGCUAACAUGCUCCAAGGUCAGUGUGAGACUUUUGCGACGUUGCGGGAACGCGCAACGCUUGGAUAACGUUUGCUUUGGUGCCACAAAAUACUGCAGUGAGUGAGGAGGAUCUCAGCUUCAAGCUGUCGGCAGUUAUCACGGUUGUUGGCUUCAAUAUGAUUUGGCAGUAACAUCUUGGAUCCUAUGAGCUGUCACCUUCACAGACAAGUCUGUCAAUCCACCUAACAUCUGACUUAAACGAUUCAGUCCCUCUCUCUGCAUACGAGGUAGAAGGCUCGCUUCUGUUGACACCCAAGAGAAUCAUACAAAUAAAACAAGCCAGUGCAUAAUGGCAGCUGUAUCUCCAUAAUCCAUGAGACUUCGUGUUGUUGAGCCAGACCGGGCUAGAAAAUUAAAACUCAGUUCACGACCAGCCUCUGUUGAUGCACUGAUUGCUGUUAUAAAAGAACAGCUGGAAAUAUACCUUGACUUCAGUUUAAAAUAUGAAGACCCCGACUUUGAUGGAAAACUUAUUUCCCUCUCUGACAUUGAUGAGUUGCCACAGAAAGCUGUUGUGCAUG
Carassius carassius (crucian carp) is the source of this 602-nucleotide long non-coding RNA. RefSeq lists it as uncharacterized. The transcript is spliced from 4 exons. Lineage: Eukaryota; Metazoa; Chordata; Actinopteri; Cypriniformes; Cyprinidae. The record is from RefSeq and is a predicted model, not a curated record.